UUAUUAAAGUGGAGAAGUGAAGGGAGAAUAGAACAUAUUUUCUGGUUAUAAAGUCUGAAAAACAGAGAGAAAAGGAGAGCGUAUGUGUGACAUAGUGGCUGGAAAAAUCAAAGGAAUUGUUUGAAGUUAUUUAAGGCAAAGACGAGAGCCGGAGAGAGGUGGAAGUUUUGGCUGGAAACCUUGGGUAAAGAAAGAAGUCUAGGAUCAUCCAAGGUAAGGGAAGCUUACCAAUAUUUUGUGUUUUGAUGAUUAAUGUUCUUGUUGGGAAUCUUUGCAUGAUUUAUAUCAAUACUACUUGCUGUUUAAUCAAGAUAUGAUAUAUACUGUGACGAAUGGGUUUGUGAGUUCAUAUAUUAAUUUUUGUUUGUGAACGGGGACUAACCGUAUUAUUCAAGGUUACUGUAUGUAUGUAUCAGCAUGUUUAUAAAUGAUGUACAGUUAAAUUAGGGAUGGGUUGGGUGUAUUAGAUGAGAAAACUGUUUCAUACAUUUCAAUAUUAUACUACAUGCGAGGAUGAAAAUAGAACCUGUUGGUGUUUAGUAAAUGCGAGAGUCAUGCUUUCAGGUGGGUUUGCGUAAAGUGAAUAUAUGCAUAGAUGUAUAUUGUAUGAAUUGAAUGUAUACCAGGGGUUUUGGUUCCGUUCUUAGGUUUCAUCAUUAAGUGAAUGUAUGGGAUACAUGGUGUAUGGUAUUUUCAGAUAACUGUAAAGGUGUUGUUGUGUUGACAUGGAAGGAGAUUUAAGAUUGCAUUUCGGGAUAAGUUAUUAUGGUUGCACUGAUUAUUACAGAAUGAAGUGAAACGCUGCAGGGUAAGGAUUAAAUGGGGUAUAGGGUUAGUAACCCAUGUAAACAUGCAAUGGUGUGCGUGGGAAGGGCAAAUUGGAAGAAUAGAUACUGAAUGAAAGAGAAAUAAUUUAUUGGGUUUGAAUCAACAUUGUGAGAAGGACUUAGCUUUGAAUUACAUAAGGAAGAGAAGAAAAGAAGAAACAGAUAAAGGAAGUAGAAUUUUCAGUAAUAAUUAAUGGAUGAAGAAAGAAAUACAGAGAGGAAAUCUUGUAGGAACUUUAUAUCUUGCAUCCUUGAGGGGUUGAGUGCAUGAAGUAGAUCUGCAAAAUAAUUCUGAGCGUGUAAUAUUUUUAGAUGUUGAAUUCAUAAUGGAGUCUGCAAAAUAAGAUUUUAGAAGUUAAUAUUUAUAAGUUUUGAGUACAGUGAGAUUUUUUUUAGGUUUGCGUUAUUUGAGUGCUACCAAUGAAUCAAGGCACAUGGAAACUAGUUUUUGUUUUUUUUAAAUGAUAUUAUACUGGAUGCAUUUAUUGAUAGUAUUAUUUGAAGUAAAUUUUGGAAUGAUGGUGCAUUAUAUUAAAUUAUGAUUUGACGUUAUAUAUUGACUACGUAAUAUUCAAUUAAUUUUAUUAUAUUGUACGUUAUAUAAGUGAGUUAAGAUUAUAUUACGAAUAUUAUAUUAUAUUAUAUGAAGAAUAUUAUAAUAGAUU
Molecule: long non-coding RNA, 1492 nt
Filed under: Vigna radiata
Lineage: Eukaryota; Viridiplantae; Streptophyta; Magnoliopsida; Fabales; Fabaceae
Description: long non-coding RNA (VRAD_LNC011863)
Source: RNAcentral